CUUAGGGGUGCCGUUUGGCUGAGAUCAUACCCUUGAACCUGAUGCGGGCAAUGCCGCCGUAGGGAAAGUGA
This 71-nucleotide non-coding RNA is filed under the name bovine gut metagenome. Its description in RNAcentral is "TPP riboswitch (THI element)". It matches the Rfam family "TPP riboswitch aptamer (THI element)", at positions 8 to 91 of the family's 105-position model. Rfam says of the family: Vitamin B(1) in its active form thiamin pyrophosphate (TPP) is an essential coenzyme that is synthesised by coupling of pyrimidine and thiazole moieties in bacteria. The previously detected thiamin-regulatory element, thi box was extended, resulting in a new, highly conserved RNA secondary structure, the THI element, which is widely distributed in eubacteria and also occurs in some archaea. The record is from RNAcentral.